This 506-nucleotide ribosomal RNA is filed under the name uncultured bacterium. RNAcentral describes it as "partial 16S ribosomal RNA". It matches the Rfam family "Bacterial small subunit ribosomal RNA", at positions 30 to 523 of the family's 1533-position model. The record is from RNAcentral.
AUUGAACGCUGGCGGCAGGCCUAACACAUGCAAGUCGAGCGGCAGCGGGAGAAAGCUUGCUUUCUUGCCGGCGAGCGGCGGACGGGUGAGUAAGGUAUGGGGAUCUGGCCGAAGGCGGGGGAUAACCACUGGAAACGGUGGCUAAUACCGCAUAAUCUCUAAGGAGCAAAGGGGGGGACCUUCUGGCCCCACACCUUCGGAUGAACCCAUGUGAGAUUAGCUAGUAGGUGGGGUAAAAGCUCACCUAGGCGACGAUCUCUAGCUGGUCUGAGAGGAUGAGCAGCCACACUGGGACCGGGAUACGGCCCCGACUCACACGGGAGGCAGCAGUGGGGAAUAUUGCACAAUGGGCGCAAGCCUGCUGCAUCCAUGCCGCGUGUAUGAAGAAGGCCUUCGGGUUGUAAAGUACUUUCAGUCGUGAGGAAGGUGUUAAGGUUAAUAGUCUUAGCAAUGGACGUUAGCGACAGAAGAAGCACCGGCUAACUCCGUGCCAGCAGCAGCCGCCG